Salvelinus sp. IW2-2015 is the source of this 410-nucleotide long non-coding RNA. RefSeq lists it as uncharacterized. Lineage: Eukaryota; Metazoa; Chordata; Actinopteri; Salmoniformes; Salmonidae. The record is from RefSeq and is a predicted model, not a curated record.
GGACCUACAACACUCUGACCAAAAGCCACCUAAACCUGUGUUCUAAGGGUCAGUCAGUGAGUGGGGUGUACAGGGUGCUGGUUAGAGGGGGAGGGUACAUGUGGGCAAAGACUCACAGUGCUGUCAUCUCCAAACCCCGCCCAUCACAGCCACACCAAUCUAAGCCCUCACCGCCACUCUUCGUUGCUUGUGUCACAUACAUCCUCAGUGGUGUUGAAGAGCCAACUCAGCUGCUGUCUCUGGGCCAGAUGAACUGAGGGGAGAAACCUCUAGCCCCUCCCUGGACCUCUUCAGGAAGGACAUUUUUCAUUCUAUAAAACAAUUCUGCAUUUUCUACAUUAAAUCUUAGCUUUAUUUAGUAUAGCUGUAGCUACAUAUUGUGAAAAAGCGGUGUGAAGGUAUUAAUGUGA